GACAACAAUCAGAAUCUGUCAAUCAAACAGCAGACACCUGGACACCUUUACUGUGUGACAGUUGAUUUCCUCCUUUAAGGAGUUUCUGUCAGAUGGUUUUUCUGCUCCACCAGUCACUCACUCACAUUGUUUCACUUCCCUUUAAGAAGCCUCUCAUGCACAUCAGCACAGAGACAAUCAUCAUACAGUUUGACCUGAAAUAUAUCAAACUACACUGGAAACACCAGGAGAAGAUUUGGCACAAUUCUUUUUAACUCUUUCAUAAAAACAAUGAAAAAAGUUCGAAUCAAAAACUUCACUUUUCAGAGGAAACAAGCAAAUACAUAAAAUAAUCUGACAACCAUCAAAUGUUCCUCAUGUUGAAUUCAGUCAUUGUUUCAAAAAGUUUUGAAGUUAUUUCAAACUACAUUGGACACAGAGUAUGACAGCAUGAAGCAAUGUCAGAUUUUACAUAAUGUGCAGCAUGACAACAUUUUUCAUUACUCAUCUAAAUGAGGUGAAUUUUAAUUCAUUAAAUGUCUUUUAAGUUUUAAAUGUAUAAAUACAUUUUAGAAAACAUAUUUGAAAAUAAUUAAAGUUUGAUCUUUUGUACAGUUGAACUUCAAUUUCAGCAUGACAGGAAUGUGUAAAGAAAAGUUCAGUAAAGCUGCUCUGAGUUCACCUCCAUGAUGAAGGAGGAGAAAUAAAAACAUUAAUACUCAAAGUCUGAUGAAUAAACACCAUCAUUUUAUCUGCUGCAAAUAUUAAGAAAGUGAAUUUACAACAUUACGUUACAUUAAUGUUUCUUUAGUAUUUGUGUAAAAACUUACUCCCAACAUCCAGUCUGGUUCCUCCACCAAAAGUCAACCACAGUGAUACAAAGUCAUUGAGCCGUCGUACAAAAACCUCUCACUGUAGAGAGACACGGCUCUCUGACUCUGUCACACUGAACUAAUUCUACAAGUUCUCAUUAUAAAACUUUGAAUCAAAUGAUUACAUUCAUUUAAGUUGCUUUUUAUUUUCAGUUGUUUUUAUCAAAUUUAGAAUAAGAAAUAUCAGUAUAACCCUGGUUAGAUUCAGAUCUGGAAAAACUAAACUGUUGAAUGUUGAAAAACAAAGUGGAAACAAGAAAAUUUGAACUUCCUCUAGUGUUUUCAACAUGUAAGAGAUGAAAAUGUAGAAAAUUGAUCUAUAGAAAAUACAAAACAUUAACUUACUUCCAACAUCCAGUCUGGUUCCUCCACCAAACGUGUACCACAGUGAUACAAAGUCAUUGAGCCGUCGUACAAAAACCUCUCACUGUAGAGAGACACGGCUCUCUGACUCUGAAACAAACAAACUCACCAGAAUCAGUCUGUUAGUAAUAUUUUUUCAGCAGGUGUGAGAAAUGACGACCACAGAACAAUUAUAAAAUUAACAAUAUUCUACAUUAAUUCAUUUUACAGAAAAAUCAAGCUUUUGCUUCAAUUUUAAUAUAUAUAAUAUAUAUGUAAGAAAACAAAAUUAGAACAAAAGUUACUCAGACAUGAAACCUAAACCACAUGGAAAUAAGUAUUAACACAUCCUGAUCAAUACUCUGAUCAGCUGAUUGAUCCAUUGAUAAACAGCAUGAUCAGAGUGAUCCAAGUCCCUGCUGGAGUCAGUCAGAGCAUUUCCAUAGAGAGCCACUUUGCAUCAGCAGCACCAUGCUCCAGUGCUCUGGGAGAGUUUAUAGUCCUGAGAGUUGAAGACUGGAUGACUGACAGCUGUCCUUCAUGACAACAGAAGACACAGAAAUCCUCCUCAUCAGAAACAUGACUUUGGUCUCCGUCCUCAUCUGGACUCUCCUCUGCUGCUGCUUCACAGAGUCCAGAGGACAGGUCACAGUGACUCAGCCUGGAGCAGUGAGCUCUGCUCUGGGAGGCUCCGUCACCAUCAGCUGUAGGACCAGUCAGGCUGUUUAUACAUGGAGCAGCUACCACUACUUAGCCUGGUACCAACAGAGAGAUGGAGAAAAACCUAAACUGCUUAUUUACGCUGCUACCACUCGAGCAUCAGGGAUUCCGGGUCGUUUUACAGGAAGUGGAUCAAACUCUGACUUCACUCUGACCAUCAGUGGAGUCCAGACUGAAGAUGCAGCAGUUUACUACUGUCAGAGUUAUCACUAUAUCAACAGUCAGUGGGUGUUCACACAGCGAAAAAGCGUCCCGUUAAGAGGCCAGUGUUGA
Molecule: non-coding RNA, 2186 nt
Organism: Seriola aureovittata
Lineage: Eukaryota; Metazoa; Chordata; Actinopteri; Carangiformes; Carangidae
Source: the annotation of a RefSeq genome assembly